AACAGGAAACAGCUUGCUGUUUCGCUGACGAGUGGCGGACGGGUGAGUAAUGUCUGGGAAACUGCCUGAUGGAGGGGGAUAACUACUGGAAACGGUAGCUAAUACCGCAUAACGUCGCAAGACCAAAGAGGGGGACCUUCGGGCCUCUUGCCAUCGGAUGUGCCCAGAUGGGAUUAGCUAGUAGGUGGGGUAACGGCUCACCUAGGCGACGAUCCCUAGCUGGUCUGAGAGGAUGACCAGCCACACUGGAACUGAGACACGGUCCAGACUCCUACGGGAGGCAGCAGUGGGGAAUAUUGCACAAUGGGCGCAAGCCUGAUGCAGCCAUGCCGCGUGUAUGAAGAAGGCCUUCGGGUUGUAAAGUACUUUCAGCGGGGAGGAAGGGAGUAAAGUUAAUACCUUUGCUCAUUGACGUUACCCGCAGAAGAAGCACCGGCUAACUCCGUGCCAGCAGCCGCGGUAAUACGGAGGGUGCAAGCGUUAAUCGGAAUUACUGGGCGUAAAGCGCACGCAGGCGGUUUGUUAAGUCAGGUGUGAAAUCCCCGGGCUCAACCUGGGAACUGCAUCUGAUACUGGCAAGCUUGAGUCUCGUAGAGGGGGGUAGAAUUCCAGGUGUAGCGGUGAAAUGCGUAGAGAUCUGGAGGAAUACCGGUGGCGAAGGCGGCCCCCUGGACGAAGACUGACGCUCAGGUGCGAAGCGUGGGGAGCAA
Molecule: ribosomal RNA, 710 nt
Filed under: uncultured Pseudomonadota bacterium
Lineage: Bacteria; Pseudomonadati; Pseudomonadota
Description: bacterial SSU rRNA
Rfam family: Bacterial small subunit ribosomal RNA
Source: RNAcentral